RNAcentral lists this transfer RNA (71 nucleotides) under Marmota monax (woodchuck). RNAcentral's name for it is "tRNA.Ala". The record is from RNAcentral. Lineage: Eukaryota; Metazoa; Chordata; Mammalia; Rodentia; Sciuridae.
GUGGUUGUAGUUCAGUGGUAGAAUGAUUACCUAGCAUGUGUUAGGUGCUGGGUUCAAUCCUCAACACUACA